This 374-nucleotide ribosomal RNA is filed under the name uncultured organism. Its description in RNAcentral is "bacterial SSU rRNA". It matches the Rfam family "Bacterial small subunit ribosomal RNA", at positions 526 to 896 of the family's 1533-position model. The record is from RNAcentral.
CGGGGGGAGCAAGCGUUGUUCGGAUUUACUGGGCGUAAAGGGCGUGUAGGCGGCCACCGCAAGUCGACUGUGAAAUCUCCGGGCUUAAGUCGGAAAGGUCAGCCGAUACUGCGGGGCUAGAGUGCAGAAGGGGCAACUGGAAUUCUCGGUGUAGCGGUGAAAUGCGUAGAUAUCGAGAGGAACACCUGCGGCGAAGGCGGGUUGCUGGGCUGACACUGACGCUGAAACGCGAAAGCUAGGGGAGCGAACGGGAUUAGAUACCCCGGUAGUCCUAGCCUUAAACGAUGAAUGCUUGGUGUCUGGGGUUUUAUAGUCCCCGGGUGCCGUCGCUAACGCUUUAAGCAUUCCGCCUGGGGAGUACGGUCGCAAGACUG